UUAUCUCCUUUCUUUUUUUUUUUGGGAAAACUUCAAAAAACCUCCCUGUGGUUUCACACUUUUUUAUUUUAAUACUAUAUAGUUUAAAGUUUAUCAAAUUAGUACCCUGUGAUUUCUCACUUUAUCACUUUAGUAUACUGUGGUUUAAAGUGUAUCAAGUUAGUACCCUGUGGUUUUGCACUUUAUCACUUUAGUACCCUGUGGUUUCACACUUUAUCACUUUAGUAUCCUGUGAUUUAAAAAACCACAGGAUACUAAUUUGAUACAAAAUUAAAACCACUGGGUACUAAAGUGAUAAAGUGCAAAACCAUACGGUACUAACUUGAUACACUUUAAACCACGGGGUACUAAAGUGAUAAGGUGAGAAACCACAGGGUACUAACUUGAUACAUUUUAAACCACAGGAUACUAAAGUGAAAAAUAUUGAAACCUCAAGGGGGUUUUUGAAGUUUUCCUUUUUUUUUU
RNAcentral lists this long non-coding RNA (465 nucleotides) under Ananas comosus (pineapple). RNAcentral describes it as "long non-coding RNA (ACOM_LNC026213)". Lineage: Eukaryota; Viridiplantae; Streptophyta; Magnoliopsida; Poales; Bromeliaceae. The record is from RNAcentral.